CCUACGGGGGGCAGCAGUGGGGAAUAUUGGACAAUGGGGGGAACCCUGAUCCAGCCAUGCCGCGUGUGUGAAGAAGGCCCUCGGGUUGUAAAGCACUUUCAGUGAGGAAGAACGCCUGGUGGUUAAUACCCAUCAGGAAAGACAACACUCACAGAAGAAGCACCGGCUAACUCCGUGCCAGCAGCCGCGGUAAUACGGAGGGUGCGAGCGUUAAUCGGAAUUACUGGGCGUAAAGCGCGCGUAGGUGGCUUGAUAAGCCGGUUGUGAAAGCCCCGGGCUCAACCUGGGAACGGCAUCCGGAACUGUCAAGCUAGAGUGCAGGAGAGGAAGGUAGAAUUCCCGGUGUAGCGGUGAAAUGCGUAGAGAUCGGGAGGAAUACCAGUGGCGAAGGCGGCCUUCUGGACUGACACUGACACUGAGGUGCGAAAGCGUGGGUAGCAAACAGGAUUAGAUACCCCUGUAGUC
Molecule: ribosomal RNA, 465 nt
Filed under: Vreelandella stevensii
Lineage: Bacteria; Pseudomonadati; Pseudomonadota; Gammaproteobacteria; Oceanospirillales; Halomonadaceae
Description: partial 16S ribosomal RNA
Rfam family: Bacterial small subunit ribosomal RNA
Source: RNAcentral